This 64-nucleotide transfer RNA is filed under the name Diceroprocta semicincta. Its description in RNAcentral is "tRNA-Trp". The record is from RNAcentral. Lineage: Eukaryota; Metazoa; Arthropoda; Insecta; Hemiptera; Cicadidae.
AAGGCUUUAAGUUAACUUAAACUAUUAUCCUUCAAAGCUAAAAAUAUAAUUUUUAUAAGCCUUA